Molecule: long non-coding RNA, 3063 nt
Filed under: Taeniopygia guttata (zebra finch)
Lineage: Eukaryota; Metazoa; Chordata; Aves; Passeriformes; Estrildidae
Description: lncRNA (ENSTGUG00000022353.1)
Source: RNAcentral
CACAUGUUAUGGACAUUUUUAUUUAUUGACAUGGUCAAAUUAACAGGCAGCAGCAUUUAUUUUUAAUGAUAGCCUUGAAAUCAGCCCAGGAAGAAAGUUAACAUUGAUGUUCAGAAUACUGCAUGCCAUCCACAUUUUUCCAGAUGAAAGUAUAUUUUAAACUAAUAAUUAAAUAUUGUCACCCUAAUUAAGUUACCUUGAGCAGGUGAGAGAAACACAGUUCUUAGUCAUUGCAAAUCUUGUUUGUCCUAUUCUCAAGCUGUACAGAAAAACUACCCAGCAGGAGAAAUUCGGCAAGCUCCAUGGUUUAAAGUGUGCACUUAAUUUAGGUGAAUGAUAAGCUGUGUCUAUAAAGAUUUGUGUUGGUCACCACGGAAUGGAAGAUUCCUGUGAAGUAGACAAGAUGUAAUUGCCAGUAAAUAUCAGUGCUAGCUUGGCCACACAACAUUCACAGAGCAGGAGGGAAUAUCUUGGUAUAUUUAUUAUUACAGUGGGGAAUUUUGACAGUCACCUUAAUCACUCUUUGAGACAGGUAAAGAGAAAGGAACUGGGCAGCAGCACAGUUAUCAGCUGGGUUAGAGAAAGCACACAGAGCAAAGGAGAAUGAAGAGCAUUUCACAAGGUAUUUUAAACAGGUUUACAUUGGGAUGAAGAUAUUAGGAGUUUUUAGAUAUUAAGCACUUGUGGAAAUUAAAUCAUUGCUUCAUGCAUUUAAAAUUUACGCCCUAGAAGUACCUUCACAAACCAGACUGCCCACUUUAAAACUUCUGAUCUACCCACCUUAAACAAGAAUAUUCUAUAAAUUACAAAGAAAGACUGGGAAAUGAUCUGUGUGUAAUAGCUGAACCAAGCAAUUUGCAUAUUUUCAUGAAUUACUGUAAUGUGUUCUGCUUGUAAUUUCACUUGUAUACAAAGGAUCACAGUUGCAAAAAGUACCAACUUUUCAUGUUCAAAAGUGAUUCAGGAGUCGAAUUUCCUAGUCCAAAAUGCUGAGACACUUAAAAAUUAGAAGCUGAAAUCAUUGUUCUCUUCAUUGCACUAGAAAGUUUUGCACUAAAUCCUGCUCAGUGGCUUAGAUAUGAGCUGGAAAUAAUUUUUAGGAAAGCCCUGAACCAGGACACACUAUUAGAGACUCCUUGGUUCUUUUGACUUGGCAUUCACACAUGUGCAUGCAGAUAUGCAGAUAGCCCUGUCAUGAUCUAUUAAAAAAACAAACAAACAAAAAAAUCUAGAAAAAUCAAUUUUCACUGAAAGAUUCCAGUUUUUUUUCAGGGAAGAAAAGGUCUGUAAGCUUACCUGAGAAAAAGUUUCCACAGCAAUUUUAUUUUUUAAAAAUGGUGAUGAACGACCCACAGUGAACGUGGGAGAAGGAUCCAAUUUCUGCCCACGAGGGAGAAGAGUGUGUGCAUGGUGGGCACCUCAGGCUGCAAGAGCAGGCACAGGAUAGGGCAUGGGCACGCAGGGCAGCUGCCUGCAGCUCCUGGCCAGUCUCAGCCUCUGUGGGGUCCCUUAGAGGGGUGAAUUAUUGUGCCCAGGGAGCUCCCCCCCCCAUCCUGGCCAAGUCAGGAUACAUUUUUAUAGCCCUUCUUCAAGUGAUAGAAAUAUCAAGGGGAGGGCAAAAUAUAUGGGAGGAGGGAAAGGGAGGCAGUUUCCAGUAUUUGUCAUUAUUAUAGGUUAUAUAUACAGGAAGAAAGUUAAUUAAGCUUUAAAAAAUCCAUCACACAUCAAUGGGUGCAUUUUAAUGAGUAGAAAAAGUUGAGAUGUUUACUGCCAAUUAAAGUGGUUUUUAAAUAAGCAUUAAUUAACACAGAAAUUCAGAAGAAAGUUAUACCUUGUCAAAGAAAGGCCAGUGCAGUCUAUGCCCACUUCUGCUCCCAUUCAUACUCAGAUAGUAAUUACCACCAACCCUAUAUUUUCCAUAAUAAUGAGGAGAGGCUGUCAUGGCUGUCAAACAAAAACAAAACAAAAAAAAAAAGAAAAAAAGGUGCUGCACAAAAAUACCCUCAAUCUGAAGUAAACUUUUGUUUUUAAAUGUAUAAUAAAAAGCCACAGGAGACAGCAAUAUGGGGCAAGGCAGUGAGUGGGGCAGUCAGGCAGCCAUGCCAGAGGCAGCUGCACACACAUGGCUCCUUCCUAGGGAGCAGAGACUUUGGAACUCAGGAUGAAGCCUCUCCAGACAGUCCAGCUGAAGAAAGACUGAAGAAAAGCCAAAGAAAAAGCAGUUCGUUCCUAGUUUCAUCCCUAGCGCUGGAACUCGUGGAGGAGCUGAUUCCCCUGUUAAAGCCAGAGGAGCUCGUUUUUUCCACAAACAAGUGCUGACAGACUAGCUCCAUGCUUCCCAAAGUCAGAUCAAAGCAACCACUGCAAAUAAGUUCAGCUUGCAUGUGCACUUCCAGCUGGAGCAACUGGUGACAGGAAAAACAGUACGACCCUCAAUUCUGUCACUUCUCCAUUCUUGCAGGAUUUCUUAAUAAUUGUCAGGAGUUUCAGCUCUACUUCAGCUAGUGUCAAAUCCUGAUGGGACAGCAAAGGAAGUGAUUUCUCCCAUUGUUAGUCUGGUGAAUGUUUAAAUAUCUUAGGAAAACCUUCCUUCCCCCAAAUGCAUCUUAGGCACCAAGUAAGAUUUUCAAACUGCCUCAUUGAGAAUGGCUUCUCUCCUCACUUCCCCAGCUCCAGCUGUGGAGAGAUAAAAACCCCACUGCCUUUUCAGACAGCAGAAGAGGCAGGUCACAUAAAAAUUUGUUAGUAGCCUAAGAAAUUUUACAAAAAUCUCUGGUGUAGUGUUUUUAAAGUUAAUUUAAAAAACAAAACAAAACAAAACAAAAGAAGCAACAAAACACAGAAAAGAAGGCUGUAGAUAUGCACAGACUCCUGUUCCUAACCCUUGGCAUUUCACUCAGAUAAUGUGCAGCCUCUCUGUAGCUUGUGUCUAUCAGGGAGUAUCUGGGAGCCUUUUUCCUACUCCAUGUCCACAGGCAAUAUCUGCAGUAGAAUAAAAAAAGGAGAGCAUUAAAUGCCAUGGAAGUUUUGUUGAAUGUAACUGGACAGGGCCUUCAGAUCUUG